UUGCUUCAGCAGCACAUAUGCUAAAAUUGGAACGAUACAGAGAAGAUUAACAUUGGCCCCUGCGCAAGGAUGACAUUCAAAUUAGUGAAGCAUACCGUAUUUAA
Small nuclear RNA from Colobus angolensis palliatus, 104 nucleotides. The record is from Ensembl. Lineage: Eukaryota; Metazoa; Chordata; Mammalia; Primates; Cercopithecidae.